This 1188-nucleotide long non-coding RNA is filed under the name Brassica napus (rape). RNAcentral describes it as "long non-coding RNA (BNAP_LNC023277)". Lineage: Eukaryota; Viridiplantae; Streptophyta; Magnoliopsida; Brassicales; Brassicaceae. The record is from RNAcentral.
UGAAAACAAAAAUAAAGUUACAAGUUUCAAAGCUAUAUCCAUUGAUCAAUCUCAGGAUUAGUAAAAGACUACACACAAACUGCCUCAAUAUCAGAACUGAAAUCCCCUGACGACUAAUCCAAACACUAGUUUCUACAAAACAUAGCACUAAGCCACUCAAAAUGAUCCAAUGCCAAAGAACCAAAAGUGCAUCAGAAAAGAAGAGACAGUAAAGCACCUCUCGACUACGAACCCAACCAAAACCUUCACGAAUCUUCUUCCUUUCCCUCCUCCACCACCACCUGAGAACUCAAAGCUAUACUUGCUAGACGUCGGAGAACUGAAUGCUGCUCCCAAAGAAACGCUAUGUGUCAAUCGCAACACACACAACCCAAAGCAGAAUGUGUAUGCUUACAACAACAAAACCAAGCUUACAAAGCCAACACAACACAUCAUAAUUAAAGACUUAAGUUUUUUAUGGAACAGAACAGUUCACAUUUAAAAAUUAAACUCAUGCAAAUGAGUCGAUCACGCUAGAUAAAACAGAACAUCAGUCAUACUAGCAGAAAGUCGAUCAAGCUAGAUAAAACAGAACAUCAGUGAUACUAGAAGAAACAACUAACUAGCUCAUAUCAUCAAAAUGCAUCAAAACCUGUGUUUUAAAAAGCGCUAGGCGAACCAAGGCCAGGGAUCACGAUACGUGAACAAACAACAAAAUAUAGAGACUUUACUAAAAUCAAACAUGUCAAUUAGUUUGCAUAAACCUCAUCAAGAACUCUAAAGUUCGAAGCUUUAAGCAAAAGUGAAUAUGGGGUUUCUAAUUUACCUUAUGGCUGAGACAAAUCUUCUUGUUGCAAGCAAAAAAAGAAGAAUUUAUAUAUAAUUAUUAAGAAAAAUAAAUCGAGGAUUGGAGAAGAGAAAUUGGGGAUCGGAGACUUACGCUUAGGCAUCAGAUGGACCUGACGGCGAUUGAAGUGACGAGACGCUUCCCUUUGCGACGGAGAGGAGAAGACUAGAUAAGAAGGAGAGGCGAUUGACCGGAGGAGAGACGAUUAAACGGAGGAGAGCUGAUUGAUCGGAGGUGACGCCGAUGGAACGUAGGAGAGCUGAUAGACCGGAGGAUACGCCGAUUGAACGGAGGUGACACUUUCGUUGAGAAAUUCAAUCGGCGUCCCAACGGAGACCACGAGAAAACAAAAGAGAAAGAGA